Molecule: long non-coding RNA, 347 nt
Filed under: Trifolium pratense (red clover)
Lineage: Eukaryota; Viridiplantae; Streptophyta; Magnoliopsida; Fabales; Fabaceae
Description: long non-coding RNA (TPRA_LNC001128)
Source: RNAcentral
UCCUGAAUAUCAAUAUCAAACCAAACAUUAUAAGGUUUUAAAUAAAAGUCUACGACCACAUGACAUCAAUAUAUUUGAUGUCUCUCGCAGCAUAACUAUGAUUGAGGCUCAUCGACCAUGUUUAAUAAUCGAGUAUGUAAAGUCGGUUAGGGCUCAACCGACUUAACAUAUUCUAUUAUUUAAUCGUAACGCUCAACAAUAUAAAAAAAUGCAAUUCCAUUGUGACAAAUAACUAUUUAUAAAAGUUAAUAAUACCGGUGAUUCUAUCAUACACAUCAGCAGCAGAUUCCCCAUUUGGAAAUCGGUAAAAGAAACGACCGUAAAGAUUGCGUUGCGCUUUUUCAACU